AUCUUAAACACAACUACACCAAUAAAGUUGUCCGUAUAUAGAGGACAAUGCUCCAGAAUAAAGUAGUUUUGAUUCUGAUAAUGAAACCUACACAUUGCAGGAUCUCUUACUUAUAUAAUAGGCUGAUCAUAACUACUGCAUAACCUAUUAGGAUAAAGAUAAAUAACUUCUAAUAACCAUAAUAAAACUGCUAAACAGAUAACUUCUAAUAAACUUCUAAUAACUGAAAGCUCCAGGAAUUAUCUUCUCCUAAAUUUCUUUGCUUCUUCUGGAAGAUAUGUGGCUUAUCAGUACACCCCUCCUGGAAAGACGACUUGUCCUCAAGGCGAAGUUCGAGAAAUUGUGCCCACAUUAGUAGGAAACAUGUCAUUUUUGUUGUUAUCUUUCACAAUCUGUGUGUCGUUCUCUUCUUGCAUCAACUCUAGAUGAGCAAAAGUCCCAGGUUUGCAGCGAUGAUCAGGGCUAAACUUUUCUCCCCAACGAUAUCAAAGGGCUUUGUCUCGCCAAAUUUGUUGUUCAGGAGUCAACGGGCGAGUGUUUGGAAGUGGUGGUGGUUGAAAAGGACGUGUAACUGGUUGGCGGGAUGACAGAAAAUCGAAGGAUUCUCGAGCCGCAGGAGAUGAUGUCCCAACUGAAGGAGGUCGUGAUACAGAAGGCAAAGUGGGUGCCUUACUGGACCGAUUAGGUCCCUGUUUUCCUUCAUAUUCUAAAGCCAGGCUCAUUGCCUUGUACACAUAUCGAGGUUUGUGAAUCCUAGCAUCCACGCGAAGGUCUUCUUUCAGCCCACUGUGGAAAACUCCAAGCAAAUAGUGUUCUGGCCAAUUUUGCACACGCGCUGCUCGUUUUGCAAAUUCUUGCCUAUACUCAAACAUUGUUCCAGUUUGUUGGAUAUCACAGAGAUGUUCAUCAGGGAUUUGAAACUCAGCUAGUCCGUAAUUUUCUUGCAUUACUUUCACCAAUUCGUCCCAAUAGUAAAUGGUUCGCUCACUGUUGAUCCAAGCGAAAAGAUCUAAUGCAUCUCCUUCCACGUACAUCAAAGCCACAUCAACCUUGCAUUCCUCGGAAGUUUGAUAGUACUGGAAAUACUUCUCUGCUUUUAAAAUCCAGCCUCUAGGAUCUCCUCCCUCAUACUUUGGAAAUUCCAUCUUUGUCCGUGAGCGCGUGAAAGUUUCUUGAUGCCAAGUGUUGUUAACCUCACCCUCUUCUGGUAUGACUUUAGCUUUCCCUUUGUUGAUGUGAUCUCCACUGUGUUGUGCUUUUAAUGCAGCCACAUCAGCGGCUAAAGCAUCUAUGGCUUCCAGUUUCGCUGCUAUAGUCGUCAAUUGUUGGGAAAUCGGGUCAAGAGUAGGAAUGGUGAGUUCACUGUGGGAAGCAUUGGUCCGCGUGUUCACCAUGGCAGAUCUUACUGCUCUGAUACCAAAUUGAUAGAAACCAGAAGUGGAUAACAGAUUAAAUAGAGCAAAGAAGUUAAUAUUAUUGGCAAUAGUUUGUGCAAGAAUCUUAAACACAACUACACCAAUAAAGUUAUCCGUAUAUAGAGGACAAUGCUCCAGAAUAAAGUAGUUUUGAUUCUGAUAAUGAAACCUACACAUUACAUGAUCUAUUACUUAUAUAAUAGGCUGACCAUAAAUACUGCAUAACCUAUUAGGAUAAAGAUAAAUAACUUCUAAUAACCAUAAUAAAACUGCUAAACAGAUAACUUCUAAUAAACUUCUAAUAACUGAAAGCUCCAGGAAUUAUCUUCUCCUAAAUUUCUUUGCUUCUUCUG
This 1768-nucleotide long non-coding RNA is filed under the name Nicotiana tabacum (common tobacco). RNAcentral describes it as "long non-coding RNA (NTAB_LNC000280)". Lineage: Eukaryota; Viridiplantae; Streptophyta; Magnoliopsida; Solanales; Solanaceae. The record is from RNAcentral.